Long non-coding RNA from Sinocyclocheilus rhinocerous, 208 nucleotides. RefSeq lists it as uncharacterized. The record is from RefSeq and is a predicted model, not a curated record. The transcript has 4 exons. NCBI's taxonomy places the organism in Eukaryota, Metazoa, Chordata, Actinopteri, Cypriniformes, Cyprinidae.
AGGUGACUGAUGUCAAACCAGAGACUCUUAACCCAGUGUGGAAUGAACACUUUGUUUUUGACAUUGAUGAUGUUCACAAUGACCUGCUCCAUCUGGACAUAUGGGAUCACGAUGACGAUGUUUCUGUUGCGGAAGCCUGUAAGAAGCUGAAUGAAAUUAGUGGAUUCAGAGGAAUGGGCAGAUAUUUCAAGCAAAUUGCCAAAUCCGU